UACGUAGGGUGCAAGCGUUAAUCGGAAUUACUGGGCGUAAAGCGUGCGCAGGCGGUUUUGUAAGUUUGUCGUGAAAGCCCCGGGCUCAACCUGGGAAUGGCGAUGGAGACUGCAAGGCUUGAAUCUGGCAGAGGGGGGUAGAAUUCCACGUGUAGCAGUGAAAUGCGUAGAGAUGUGGAGGAACACCGAUGGCGAAGGCAGCCCCCUGGGUCAAGAUUGACGCUCAUGCACGAAAGCGUGGGGAGCAAACAGG
Molecule: ribosomal RNA, 253 nt
Filed under: uncultured bacterium
Lineage: Bacteria
Description: partial 16S ribosomal RNA
Rfam family: Bacterial small subunit ribosomal RNA
Source: RNAcentral